RNAcentral lists this ribosomal RNA (346 nucleotides) under uncultured Acidobacteriota bacterium. RNAcentral's name for it is "bacterial SSU rRNA". It matches the Rfam family "Bacterial small subunit ribosomal RNA", at positions 433 to 796 of the family's 1533-position model. Lineage: Bacteria; Pseudomonadati; Acidobacteriota. RNAcentral also lists the same sequence under 1 other name. The record is from RNAcentral.
CUUUCGACCGGGAAGAUAAUGACGGUACCCGUAGAAGAAGCUCCGGCUAACUUCGUGCCAGCAGCCGCGGUAAUACGAAGGGGGCAAGCGUUGUUCGGAAUUACUGGGCGUAAAGGGUGCGUAGGCGGUUUGAUAAGUCUGGUGUGAAAUCUCCGGGCUCAACCCGGAGUCUGCAUCGAAAACUGUCGGGCUUGAGUAUGGGAGAGGUGAGUGGAAUUCCCGGUGUAGCGGUGAAAUGCGUAUAUAUCUGGAGGAACACCUGUGGCGAAAGCGGCUCACUGGACCAUUACUGACGCUGAUGCACGAAAGCUUGGGGAGCAAACAGGAUUAGAUACCCUGGUAGUCC